CGGUUUAAUGGGCUGGUUAAGCCGGUAAGGGUCAACGGGAUUCUUGUUCCGCUUCUUCAUCGCGUGGUGGUUACCGCUGAGGGCCCCUACCGCUCCUGCGCGGCGGCGGCGGCGGCCACCUGCGCCGCCCCCGACCUCCGUCGAACUAGCGCUUCCACGCCCUCGUUACCUCCUCGUGCUUUCUCGUGCGCCUCUGCAUGGGCAUGCACACCCCGAGGAUGUAGGAGCAGAUGCCGCCGGAGCCGCGCAUGUAGUGGACCGCUACCACGUUCGAGGCGGCGUGGCUCCUGGCGCAGGCGCGGGAGGUCCGGGCGGAGGCGGUCGAGCGGCGCCGGCUCCUCAGCGUCCGGCGAAGGUGAGGAGGAUGGGGUAGAGGAGGGGACGGCGGCGGCGGCUGACCCGGCCCGUUCGGGCGGAGGCGCGGCACUUCUCAUUCCGGGGAAUCCGUUGAAGAACUGAACUUUACAAUGUUCAAUGUCUUGUUAGGGACGUAGCAAGCUCUAGCUCCGUAAGGAACGGAGACAAAUGAGACACUAGGACCUGGAUUUCUUUACCACCCUAGAGCGGGGGUUUUUUCAACCUUCCGUCUUAAGACACAAGUAUGACCUCUGGUAAGACCUCUUCCAAAAUUAACAACAAUAAUUACAUACAAAUGGGAAGGGCGAUCCCUUAAAACAGUGGCACUGGAAAAAAG
This 694-nucleotide ribosomal RNA is filed under the name Triticum aestivum (bread wheat). Its description in RNAcentral is "partial small subunit ribosomal RNA". The record is from RNAcentral. Lineage: Eukaryota; Viridiplantae; Streptophyta; Magnoliopsida; Poales; Poaceae.